This 502-nucleotide ribosomal RNA is filed under the name Phytobacter diazotrophicus. RNAcentral's name for it is "bacterial SSU rRNA". It matches the Rfam family "Bacterial small subunit ribosomal RNA", at positions 23 to 514 of the family's 1533-position model. Lineage: Bacteria; Pseudomonadati; Pseudomonadota; Gammaproteobacteria; Enterobacterales; Enterobacteriaceae. The record is from RNAcentral.
CUCAGAUUGAACGCUGGCGGCAGGCCUAACACAUGCAAGUCGAACGGUAGCACAGAGGAGCUUGCUCCUCGGGUGACGAGUGGCGGACGGGUGAGUAAUGUCUGGGAAACUGCCCGAUGGAGGGGGAUAACUACUGGAAACGGUAGCUAAUACCGCAUAAUGUCGCAAGACCAAAGAGGGGGACCUUCGGGCCUCUUGCCAUCGGAUGUGCCCAGAUGGGAUUAGCUUGUUGGUGAGGUAAUGGCUCACCAAGGCGACGAUCCCUAGCUGGUCUGAGAGGAUGACCAGCCACACUGGAACUGAGACACGGUCCAGACUCCUACGGGAGGCAGCAGUGGGGAAUAUUGCACAAUGGGCGCAAGCCUGAUGCAGCCAUGCCGCGUGUGUGAAGAAGGCCUUCGGGUUGUAAAGCACUUUCAGCGGGGAGGAAGGCAGUACGGUUAAUAACCGUGUUGAUUGACGUUACCCGCAGAAGAAGCACCGGCUAACUCCGUGCCAGCAG